UACGUAGGGGGCAAGCGUUGUCCGGAUUUAUUGGGCGUAAAGAGCGUGUAGGCGGUUUGGUAGGUCCGUUGUGAAAACUCGAGGCUCAACCUCGAGACGCCGAUGGAAACCAUCAGACUAGAGUCCGGAAGAGGAGAGUGGAAUUCCUGGUGUAGCGGUGAAAUUCGUAGAUAUUGGGAAGAACACCGGUGGCGAAGGCGGCUCACUGGCUCAUUACUGACGCUCAUGCGCGACAGCGUGGGGAUCAAACAGG
This 253-nucleotide ribosomal RNA is filed under the name uncultured bacterium. RNAcentral's name for it is "partial 16S ribosomal RNA". It matches the Rfam family "Bacterial small subunit ribosomal RNA", at positions 524 to 776 of the family's 1533-position model. The record is from RNAcentral.